This 492-nucleotide ribosomal RNA is filed under the name uncultured bacterium. RNAcentral describes it as "partial 16S ribosomal RNA". It matches the Rfam family "Bacterial small subunit ribosomal RNA", at positions 29 to 507 of the family's 1533-position model. The record is from RNAcentral.
AGUGAACGCUGGCGGUAGGCCUAACACAUGCCAGUCGAACGGCAGCACAGUAAGAGCUUGCUCUUACGGGUGGCGAGUGGCGGACGGGUGAGGAAUACAUCGGAAUCUACUUUUUCGUGGGGGAUAACGUAGGGAAACUUACGCUAAUACCGCAUACGACCUACGGGUGAAAGCAGGGGAUCUUCGGACCUUGCGCGAUUGAAUGAGCCGAUGUCGGAUUAGCUAGUUGGCGGGGUAAAGGCCCACCAAGGCGACGAUCCGUAGCUGGGCUGAGAGGAUGAUCAGCCACACUGGAACUGAGACACGGUCCAGACUCCUACGGGAGGCAGCAGUGGGGAAUAUUGGACAAUGGGCGCAAGCCUGAUCCAGCCAUACCGCGUGGGUGAAGAAGGCCUUCGGGUUGUAAAUCCCUUUUGUUUGGAAAGAAAAGCAGCAGGUUAAUACCCCGCUGUUCUGACGGUACCCAAAGAAUAAGCACCGGCUAACUUCGUG